GCCCAGACUCCUACGGGAGGCAGCAGUGGGGAAUAUUGGGCAAUGGGCGCAAGCCUGACCCAGCAAUGCCGCGUGAAGGAAGAAGGCUUUCGGGUUGUAAACUUCUUUUGACAGGGAAGAGCAGAAGACGGUACCUGUCGAAUAAGCCACGGCUAACUACGUGCCAGCAGCCGCGGUAAUACGUAGGUGGCAAGCGUUGUCCGGGUUUACUGGGUGUAAAGGGCGUGUAGCCGGGCUGACAAGUCAGAUGUGAAAUCCGGGGGCUCAACCCCCGGACUGCAUUUGAAACUGGUGGUCUUGAGUAUCGGAGAGGCAGGCGGAAUUCCUAGUGUAGCGGUGAAAUGCGUAGAUAUUAGGAGGAACACCAGUGGCGGAGGCGGCCUGCUGGGCGACAACUGACGGUGAGGCGCGAAAGCGUGGGGAGCAAACAGGAUUA
RNAcentral lists this ribosomal RNA (436 nucleotides) under uncultured bacterium. Its description in RNAcentral is "bacterial SSU rRNA". It matches the Rfam family "Bacterial small subunit ribosomal RNA", at positions 329 to 780 of the family's 1533-position model. The record is from RNAcentral.